UAAAGUGAAACCGCGAAAGGCUCAUUAAAUCAGUUAUGGUUCCUUAGAUCGUACACACAUUUACUUGGAUAACUGUGGUAAUUCUAGAGCUAAUACAUGCAAACAGAUCUCUGACCGGAGACGGGAGGAGUGCUUUUAUUAGAUCAAAACCAAUCGGCGUCAGUAGCGUUUCGGCGUUUGCUGUUCGUCGCACUUUUUGGUGACUCUGAAUAACUUUUGGCUGAUCGCACGGUCUUGCACCGGCGACGCAUCUUUCAAAUGUCUGCCUUAUCAACUGUCGAUGGUAGGUUCUGCGCCUACCAUGGUUGUAACGGGUAACGGGGAAUCAGGGUUCGAUUCCGGAGAGGGAGCCUGARAAACGGCUACCACAUCCAAGGAAGGCAGCAGGCGCGCAAAUUACCCACUCCCGGCACGGGGAGGUAGUGACGAAAAAUAACGAUACGGGACUCAUCCGAGGCCCCGUAAUCGGAAUGAGUACACUUUAAAUCCUUUAACAAGGACCAAUUGGAGGGCAAGUCUAGUGCCAGCAGCCGCGGUAACUCUAGCUCCAAUAGCGUAUAUUAAAGUUGUUGCGGUUAAAAAGCUCGUAGUUGAAUUUGUGUUUCGCGCUGUCGGUUCACCGCCCGCGGUGUUUAACUGGCACGUCUCGUGAAACGUCCUGCCGGUGGAUGUGAUGACCUUUGAUCACUGCGCCCGCAUUUGUGUGACAGUGUUGUUUGUUGCGUGUGCUUCCUCACGGUUGUUACUGUACUUACACACUCCGCUCAAGUGCGCGGUUGCACGGUUCGAAUGUGUCACCAUCCGACUAAAUAAUCCUGUCGCGGUGCUCUUAAUUGAGUGUCGAGGCGGGCCGGCACAUUUACUUUGAACAAAUUAGAGUGCUCAAAGCAGGCUAAAAUUUUGCCUAAAUAUUGUGUGCAUGGAAUAAUAGAAAAGGACCUCGGUUCUAUUUUGUUGGUUUUCGGAACCCCGAGGUAAUGAUUAAUAGGGACGGAUGGGGGCAUUCGUAUUGCGACGUUAGAGGUGAAAUUCUUGGAUCGUCGCAAGACGGACAGAAGCGAAAGCAUUUGCCAAAAAUGUUUUCAUUAAUCAAGAACGAAAGUCAGAGGCUCGAAGGCGAUCAGAUACCGCCCUAGUUCUGACCAUAAACGAUGCCAGCUAGCGAUCCGCCGAUGUUCCUCCGAUGACUCGGCGGGCAGCUUACGGGAAACCAAAGAUUUUGGGUUCCGGGGGAAGUAUGGUUGCAAAGCUGAAACUUAAAGGAAUUGACGGAAGGGCACCACCAGAAGUGGAGCCUGCGGCUUAAUUUGACUCAACACGGGAAAUCUCACUAGGCCCAGACACCGGAAGGAUUGACAGAUUGAGAGCUCUUUCUUGAUUCGGUGGGUGGUGGUGCAUGGCCGCUUUUAGUUCGUGGAACGAUUUGUCUGAUUAAUUUCGAUAACGGACGAGAUUCUAGCCUGCUAACUAGGCGUUACUUACCGGUAUCCUGAAGGCUCGUGCCUCUCGUUUUCUGGCCGUGCAUAUGUUGUAGGGUUGGUGCGGUUGCGUUCAGUUUCGGCUGACGCGCCCACUGCCGUACGCUGUGUACGUUCGGUACGAGUGUGUUACGGUUUUUACUACCGGCGUACAUAUAUAUCUUCUUAGAGGGACAAACGACGAUAAGUCGUACGAGAUUGAGCAACAACAGGUCUGUAAUGCCCUUAGAUGUUCUGGGCCGCACGCGCGCUACACUGAAGGAAUCAACGUGUUUUCCCUGUCCGUACGGACCGGGUAACCCGCUGAAACUCCUUCGUGCUAGGGAUUGGGGCUUGCAAUUGUUCCCCAUGAACGAGGAAUUUCCAGUAAGCGCGAGUCAUAAGCUCGCGUUGAUUAAGUCCCUGCCCUUUGUACACACCGCCCGUCGCUAUUACCGAUUGAAUGAUUUAGUGAGGUCUUCGGACUGGUACGCGGCGGCGUUUCGACAUCGCC
This 1971-nucleotide ribosomal RNA is filed under the name Merizodus nr. catapileanus DRM-2012. Its description in RNAcentral is "SSU rRNA". It matches the Rfam family "Eukaryotic small subunit ribosomal RNA". Lineage: Eukaryota; Metazoa; Arthropoda; Insecta; Coleoptera; Carabidae. The record is from RNAcentral.